RNAcentral lists this ribosomal RNA (440 nucleotides) under uncultured Brevundimonas sp. Its description in RNAcentral is "bacterial SSU rRNA". It matches the Rfam family "Bacterial small subunit ribosomal RNA", at positions 338 to 795 of the family's 1533-position model. The record is from RNAcentral. Lineage: Bacteria; Pseudomonadati; Pseudomonadota; Alphaproteobacteria; Caulobacterales; Caulobacteraceae.
CCUACGGGAGGCAGCAGUGGGGAAUCUUGCGCAAUGGGCGAAAGCCUGACGCAGCCAUGCCGCGUGAAUGAUGAAGGUCUUAGGAUUGUAAAAUUCUUUCACCGGGGACGAUAAUGACGGUACCCGGAGAAGAAGCCCCGGCUAACUUCGUGCCAGCAGCCGCGGUAAUACGAAGGGGGCUAGCGUUGCUCGGAAUUACUGGGCGUAAAGGGCGCGUAGGCGGACAUUUAAGUCAGGGGUGAAAUCCCAGAGCUCAACUCUGGAACUGUCUUUGAUACUGGGUGUGUUGAGUGUGAGAGAGGUAUGUGGAACUACGAGAGUAGAGGUGAAAAGCGUAGAUAAGGGGAAGAAAAAGAGUGGAGAAGGCGAAAUACGGGCUCAUUACUGACGCUGAGGCGCGAAAGCGUGGGGAGCAAACAGGAUUAGAUACCCUUGUAGUC